GCUUCGGUGGUAUAGUGGUAGCACGCGUCGCUGGUAUGGAUGAAACGCGGGUUCAACUCCCGCCUGAGGUC
Parelaphostrongylus tenuis is the source of this 71-nucleotide non-coding RNA. NCBI's taxonomy places the organism in Eukaryota, Metazoa, Nematoda, Chromadorea, Rhabditida, Metastrongylidae. The record is from the annotation of a GenBank genome assembly.